This 374-nucleotide ribosomal RNA is filed under the name uncultured organism. RNAcentral describes it as "partial 16S ribosomal RNA". It matches the Rfam family "Bacterial small subunit ribosomal RNA", at positions 527 to 896 of the family's 1533-position model. The record is from RNAcentral.
GUAGGUGGCAAGCGUUGUCCGGAAUUAUUGGGCGUAAAGCGCGCGCAGGUGGUUCUUUAAGUCUGAUGUGAAAGCCCCCGGCUCAACCGGGGAGGGUCAUUGGAAACUGGGGAACUUGAGUGCAGGAGAGGAAAGUGGAAUUCCACGUGUAGCGGUGAAAUGCGUAGAUAUGUGGAGGAACCCCAGUGGCGAAGGCGACUUUCUGGCCUGUAACUGACACUGAGGCGCGAAAGCGUGGGGAGCAAACAGGGAUUAGAUACCCUGGUAGUCCACGCCGUAAACGAUGAGUGCUAAGUGUUGGGGGGGUUUCCCGCCCCUCAGUGCUGCAGCUAACGCAUUAAGCACUCCGCCUGGGGAGUACGGUCGCAAGACUG